RNAcentral lists this ribosomal RNA (404 nucleotides) under Verrucomicrobiota bacterium. RNAcentral describes it as "Verrucomicrobia bacterium partial 16S ribosomal RNA". It matches the Rfam family "Bacterial small subunit ribosomal RNA", at positions 355 to 776 of the family's 1533-position model. The record is from RNAcentral. Lineage: Bacteria; Pseudomonadati; Verrucomicrobiota.
UGGGGAAUAUUGCACAAUGGGGGAAACCCUGAUGCAGCGACGCCGCGUGAGCGAUGAAGGCUUUCGAGUCGUAAAGCUCUGUCCUAUGGGAAGAUAAUGACGGUACCAUAGAAGAAAGCCCCGGCUAAUUACGUGCCAGCAGCCGCGGUAAUACGUAGGGUGCGAGCGUUGUCCGGAAUUACUGGGCGUAAAGAGCUCGUAGGCGGUUUGUCACGUCGUCUGUGAAAUCCUAGGGCUUAACCCUGGACGUGCAGGCGAUACGGGCUGACUUGAGUACUACAGGGGAGACUGGAAUUUCUGGUGUAGCGGUGGAAUGCACAGAUAUCAGGAAGAACACCGAUGGCGAAGGCAGGUCUCUGGGUAGUAACUGACGCUGAGGAGCGAAAGCAUGGGUAGCGAACAGG